GACGAACGCUGGCGGCGUGCCUAAUACAUGCAAGUUGAGCGCUGAAGGUUGGUACUUGUACCGACUGGAUGAGCAGCGAACGGGUGAGUAACGCGUGGGGAAUCUGCCUUUGAGCGGGGGACAACAUUUGGAAACGAAUGCUAAUACCGCAUAAAAACUUUAAACACAAGUUUUAAGUUUGAAAGAUGCAAUUGCAUCACUCAAAGAUGAUCCCGCGUUGUAUUAGCUAGUUGGUGAGGUAAAGGCUCACCAAGGCGAUGAUACAUAGCCGACCUGAGAGGGUGAUCGGCCACAUUGGGACUGAGACACGGCCCAAACUCCUACGGGAGGCAGCAGUAGGGAAUCUUCGGCAAUGGACGAAAAUCUGACCGAGCAACGCCGCGGGAGUGAAGAAGGGUUUCGGAUCGUAAAACUCUGUUGGUAGAGAAGAACGUUGGUGAGAGUGGAAAGCUCAUCAAGUGACGGUAACUACCCAGAAAGGGACGGCUAACUACGUG
This 497-nucleotide ribosomal RNA is filed under the name uncultured bacterium. RNAcentral describes it as "partial 16S ribosomal RNA". It matches the Rfam family "Bacterial small subunit ribosomal RNA", at positions 28 to 507 of the family's 1533-position model. The record is from RNAcentral.